Molecule: ribosomal RNA, 21 nt
Filed under: Empria fletcheri
Lineage: Eukaryota; Metazoa; Arthropoda; Insecta; Hymenoptera; Tenthredinidae
Also listed under: 15 other names
Description: partial 28S ribosomal RNA
Source: RNAcentral
CGACCUCAGAGCAGGCGAGAC